Molecule: ribosomal RNA, 775 nt
Filed under: Halomonas sp. M5E-3
Lineage: Bacteria; Pseudomonadati; Pseudomonadota; Gammaproteobacteria; Oceanospirillales; Halomonadaceae
Also listed under: 1 other name
Description: bacterial SSU rRNA
Rfam family: Bacterial small subunit ribosomal RNA
Source: RNAcentral
UCGAGCGGAACGAUGGAGCUUGCUCCAGGCGUCGAGCGGCGGACGGGUGAGUAAUGCAUAGGAAUCUGCCCGAUAGUGGGGGAUAACCUGGGGAAACCCAGGCUAAUACCGCAUACGUCCUACGGGAGAAAGCAGGGGAUCUUCGGACCUUGCGCUAUCGGAUGAGCCUAUGUCGGAUUAGCUUGUUGGUGAGGUAAUGGCUCACCAAGGCGACGAUCCGUAGCUGGUCUGAGAGGAUGAUCAGCCACAUCGGGACUGAGACACGGCCCGAACUCCUACGGGAGGCAGCAGUGGGGAAUAUUGGACAAUGGGCGAAAGCCUGAUCCAGCCAUGCCGCGUGUGUGAAGAAGGCUUUCGGGUUGUAAAGCACUUUCAGUGAGGAAGAACGCCUCGGGGCCAAUACCCCCGAGGAAAGACAUCACUCACAGAAGAAGCACCGGCUAACUCCGUGCCAGCAGCCGCGGUAAUACGGAGGGUGCAAGCGUUAAUCGGAAUUACUGGGCGUAAAGCGCGCGUAGGUGGCUUGAUAAGCCGGUUGUGAAAGCCCCGGGCUCAACCUGGGAACGGCAUCCGGAACUGUCAGGCUAGAGUGCAGGAGAGGAAGGUAGAAUUCCCGGUGUAGCGGUGAAAUGCGUAGAGAUCGGGAGGAAUACCAGUGGCGAAGGCGGCCUUCUGGACUGACACUGACACUGAGGUGCGAAAGCGUGGGUAGCAAACAGGAUUAGAUACCCUGGUAGUCCACGCCGUAAACGAUGUCGACUAGCCGUUGGGGUCC